CGCAACGUGCCUUCCCCUCCCCAAAGGCAUCUAUGCCAUAAACCAGUAGAUGUUUAAGGAUCAAAAUAAGAGCCCAAACAACUUGCUCUGUCUAACAACCCUGACAACAAAAUAACACACAGGUUGUGAGCCCGGCCAUAGGAGAAGCUCCUUUGUGUGAGCCUGGGCGGUCUUCAUCUGGCUGUGACGCCCUGGACAUCUCUUCUACACUUCCUGCCUGGUUUCCAGUCUUCAAACUCCUUUCCGGUUAAGACACAGCCUGGCGACGGCGAUCGGUCCCAGGACACCGUUCACCAUGACCUGGCCUCAGAGUGGAGAGGAACUCGAGCUCAUGGCCUUGUGGUCCUUGUAAGAACUAAUGUGGGGUAAUGCGUGCGAGCGGGAGUGGACGCUCUCACUGGACAUACAGACUGUUAGGAACCAGAAGGGGGAGAUGCGAGAGACGCCUGAUACGCCCAUGAUACCGAGACUACACGGAGAGAGGAAUCUCAAAAUGAAUCAUGGGUGUGGCUUUUGGUACGCAGAGUGCACUGGAA
Long non-coding RNA from Suricata suricatta (meerkat), 536 nucleotides. RefSeq lists it as uncharacterized. The record is from RefSeq and is a predicted model, not a curated record. The transcript has 3 exons. Lineage: Eukaryota; Metazoa; Chordata; Mammalia; Carnivora; Herpestidae.